CCUACGGAGAGCAGCAGUGGGGAAUAUUGGACAAUGGGCGAAAGCCUGAUCCAGCCAUGCCGCGUGUGUGAAGAAGGCCUUCAGGUUGUAAAGCACUUUCAGUGGGGAAGAAAGCCUUGGGGCUAAUACCCUCGAGGAAGGACAUCACCCACAGAAGAAGCACCGGCUAACUCCGUGCCAGCAGCCGCGGUAAUACGGAGGGUGCGAGCGUUAAUCGGAAUUACUGGGCGUAAAGCGCGCGUAGGCGGUCUGAUAAGCCGGUUGUGAAAGCCCCGGGCUCAACCUGGGAACGGCAUCCGGAACUGUCAGGCUAGAGGGCAGGAGAGGAAGGUAGAAUUCCCGGUGUAGCGGUGAAAUGCGUAGAGAUCGGGAGGAAUACCAGUGGCGAAGGCGGCCUUCUGGACUGACACUGACGCUGAGGUGCGAAAGCGUGGGUAGCAAACAGGAUUACAUACCCGAGUAGUC
RNAcentral lists this ribosomal RNA (465 nucleotides) under Vreelandella stevensii. RNAcentral describes it as "partial 16S ribosomal RNA". It matches the Rfam family "Bacterial small subunit ribosomal RNA", at positions 338 to 795 of the family's 1533-position model. Lineage: Bacteria; Pseudomonadati; Pseudomonadota; Gammaproteobacteria; Oceanospirillales; Halomonadaceae. The record is from RNAcentral.